ACGUAGGGGGCUAGCGUUGUCCGGAAUCAUUGGGCGUAAAGCGCGUGUAGGCGGCCCGGUAAGUCCGCUGUGAAAGUCGGGGGCUCAACCCUCGGAUGCCGGUGGAUACUGUCGGGCUAGAGUGCGGAAGAGGCGAGUGGAAUUCCUGGUGUAGCGGUGAAAUGCGCAGAUAUACGGAGGAACACCAGAGGCGAAGGCGGAUCGCUGGGCCAACACUGACGCUGAGACGCGAAAGCUAGGGGAGCAAACGGGA
This 253-nucleotide ribosomal RNA is filed under the name uncultured prokaryote. RNAcentral describes it as "partial 16S ribosomal RNA". It matches the Rfam family "Bacterial small subunit ribosomal RNA", at positions 525 to 777 of the family's 1533-position model. The record is from RNAcentral.